AGUGAACGCUGGCGGUAGGCCUAACACAUGCAAGUCGAACGGCAGCACAGUAAGAGCUUGCUCUUACGGGUGGCGAGUGGCGGACGGGUGAGGAAUACAUCGGAAUCUACUUUUUCGUGGGGGAUAACGUAGGGAAACUUACGCUAAUACCGCAUACGACCUACGGGUGAAAGCAGGGGAUCUUCGGACCUUUCGUGAUUCAAUUAGCCGAUGUCGGAUUAGCUAGUUGGCGGGGUAAAGGCCCACCAAGGCGACGAUACGUAGCUGGUCUGAGAGGAUGAUCAGCCACACUGGAACUGAGACACGGUCCAGACUCCUACGGGAGGCAGCAGUGGGGAAUAUUGGACAAUGGGCGCAAGCCUGAUCCAGCCAUACCGCGUGGGUGAAGAAGGCCUUCGGGUUGUAAAGCCCUUUUGUUGGGAAAGAAAAGCAGCAGGUUAAUACCCCGCUGUUCUGACGGUACCCAAAGAAUAAGCACCGGCUAACUUCGUG
Molecule: ribosomal RNA, 492 nt
Filed under: uncultured bacterium
Lineage: Bacteria
Description: partial 16S ribosomal RNA
Rfam family: Bacterial small subunit ribosomal RNA
Source: RNAcentral